AUGGCUCUCGCCGGCGGCGCCGCCACCGCAGCGUGCAUCCUCGUCCUCCUCGCGCUCGCCGACGCCGCGGGGGCGGCUAACCCGUCGCCGGCGCCCGCGCCGGCGCCGGACUGCACGGAGGCGUUGAUUGGCCUCGCGGACUGCCUCGACUAUGUGAUGCCCGGCAGCAAGUCGGCUCGGCCUCCCAAGGCCUGCUGCACGGAGGUGAAGACCGCCGUCGGCACCCCCGCCACCGUGAAGUGCCUCUGCGCUGCCCUGGACGCCAAGACAACUCCGAUACCGAUCAACAUGACACGGGUGCUCGCCCUCCCCACCGCCUGCGGCCAGUCCGCCUCCGUCUUGAGCAAGUGCCACGGUGAGCACCGUGCCUUUCCUCACCUUUUCCAGGACCUUCUUGUCCUGGGUCUGGCUAGAAUCCGCUCCCAUUUUUUUUUUACACCAAGGAACUAG
This 450-nucleotide ribosomal RNA is filed under the name Triticum aestivum (bread wheat). RNAcentral describes it as "partial small subunit ribosomal RNA". The record is from RNAcentral. Lineage: Eukaryota; Viridiplantae; Streptophyta; Magnoliopsida; Poales; Poaceae.